This 254-nucleotide ribosomal RNA is filed under the name uncultured bacterium. RNAcentral describes it as "partial 16S ribosomal RNA". It matches the Rfam family "Bacterial small subunit ribosomal RNA", at positions 524 to 776 of the family's 1533-position model. The record is from RNAcentral.
UACGGGGGGAGCAAGCGUUGUUCGGAUUUACUGGGCGUAAAGGGCGCGUAGGCGGCCAGCACAAGUCAGUUGUGAAAUCUCCGAGCUUAACUCGGAAGGGUCAACUGAUACUGGAUGGCUUGAGUUCGGGAGAGGGAUGCGGAAUUCCAGGUGUAGCGGUGAAAUGCGUAGAUAUCUGGAGGAACACCGGUGGCGAAGGCGGCAUCCUGGACCGAUACUGACGCUGAGGAGCGAAAGCCAGGGGAGCAAACGGG